CUGCAUGUUGUACAGUCAAGGUAGCUUUUCUGUUAUUUCUCCCCUGGUUGUUUUUCUCGCGCUUUGGUCGCAACUCAAGAUGGAGUAUCCAGCACUGGUCUUUGGCAUGUCUGCUAGUUUGACAGUGAUCACAGUAGACCUUUUGUGUCUGACCUUCCUUACUUUGCUUCCCGUUUUUCCACCAGUCAGUUUUGUUGACAGGCUUUUAUCUGUCAUCCUUCUUGUAAGUUCUUUUAUUUUUGGCCUCAAUGGCGAUGGCCUUCACAUUAGCUUCUUCAAUAGUAUCUACGGUGAACAAUUUUAGUUCCUUCCAAAUGUAGUCGGCAAGACCUCAUGUAUACUUCAUGAAAACAUCGUAGUCAUCGACGUCUAGCUUGGUUAUGGAACUCUAUUGUAUACACUUGUACAGGUUACCCAAAUCUUUGUCUGAAGUGUUACCACUUAUAACAUCUUUCAUCUUCAUAGCCAAAUGGAUAAAAUUGUUUUCUAAAAAGCAUCUUGAAGUUCUUCCAAGUCAAUUAUGAGACAUCAUACCGUCUCUGAUAGGACUUCCACCAUGUAAAGGCAUGACUUGAAAGUUUCAAACUCGCAAAUUUUAUUUUUUGCACAUUAGAAUACUUAUAAACUGUGAAAUAAGUUUCUAAUAUGCCUAUCCAGUUAUCUAGCUUUUCUGGAUCAACAUCUCCUUUAUAUAAGGGAUAUCAACCUUAAAAUCAAUUUUUAAGAUAUCAAUAGAAUUUUUGUUGUCACCUGAUUCAGCGUCCUUUUUCGUUAGAUCAGCUUGUGUGUCGUCUUCAUCUUUGCUAUCCUCAACAACCUUUUUUUUGAGCUUUUGAUCAAGCUCAUAAGAAGUUGAUGGAUGCGAAGGUUUUCCAGCCUUCAAACUCUCCACGAGUUUAAGGAUUGACACAAACAAGUUUUCAACUUGUUGGUCAAGCUUAGUGAUGCGAUCACCAUCACUAGAUGUAUCCUGUUUGUUUUCUCCAGUCAUAAUGUCUCUCUUGGACCUUGGCUUUCGGUGUACGAGCAAAUGACCUAAAA
This 1041-nucleotide long non-coding RNA is filed under the name Prunus dulcis (almond). Its description in RNAcentral is "sRNA ncRNA". The record is from RNAcentral. Lineage: Eukaryota; Viridiplantae; Streptophyta; Magnoliopsida; Rosales; Rosaceae.